CUCUGUUUCGACAAAGAUUCAGGGCAAAAGGAG
Molecule: non-coding RNA, 33 nt
Filed under: Gracilibacillus halophilus YIM-C55.5
Lineage: Bacteria; Bacillati; Bacillota; Bacilli; Caryophanales; Bacillaceae
Description: L31-Firmicutes ribosomal protein leader
Rfam family: L31-Firmicutes ribosomal protein leader
Source: RNAcentral